AAAAAAGCGUCAGCAGCGGAAGAGAAUCCUAUGUCAAGUGUAAAGGUCACUUGUGAGUCUUUGCUGGAUUUUUUUGCCAAACGAUAAAUAACCGGUUUUUUUGUGCGGACAUAAGUUUUCAUCUCCUUUGGAUAAAUACCAAGUAGUAUGAUUGCUGGAUCAUAACUAUGUCACCUAGGCUGGAGUGCAGUGGCUACUCACAGGCCUUGAAGUCCUGGGCUCAAGCAAUCCUCCCACCUCAGGCUCCUGAAUAGCUGAGAACACUACAUGUAGUCUUACAUAGACCAGCAUUACUGUCUUCACAAUGGGAGAUGCAGAACAGCUGGCAGGAAUCAAUGUACUCUGUGUUUCUCAUGGGAGAAAGAAAGAACACUGAAGGAAACAAGGACUGUGCCAGGAGAGGUGAUUAAGCAAUUAGAAUAUUUUGAAGUCUAAAAUAACUGUAGUAUCAGGAGAACAACUGAACGAGAAAAUAAAUUACUGAGAGUAAAGCAGUCUGUAGAUUUUGGGAAGAUUCGUAGGUGUGUGAGAAACAAGACAUUUUGGAAUCUUAAUGUAAUCUGAGAAGUAAAAUAGACCUGUAUUCCUGUCAUUCUCUUUCUCAUUUUCUUCCUCCUCACCAAAUCAUGAUGU
RNAcentral lists this long non-coding RNA (633 nucleotides) under Homo sapiens (human). RNAcentral describes it as "HSALNT0042188". The record is from RNAcentral. Lineage: Eukaryota; Metazoa; Chordata; Mammalia; Primates; Hominidae.